AAUAUUGCACAAUGGGCGCAAGCCUGAUGCAGCCAUGCCGCGUGUGUGAAGAAGGCCUUCGGGUUGUAAAGCACUUUCAGUCGUGAGGAAGGUGGUAGUGUUAAUAGCACUAUCAUUUGACGUUAGCGACAGAAGAAGCACCGGCUAACUCCGUGCCAGCAACCGCGGUAAUACGGAGGGUGCGAGCGUUAAUCGGAAUUACUGGGCGUAAAGCGCAUGCAGGUGGUUUGUUAAGUCAGAUGUGAAAGCCCGGGGCGUCAACCUCGGAAUAGCAUUUGAAACUGGCAGACUAGAGUACUGUAGAGGGGGGUAGGAAUUUCAGGUGUAGCGGUGAAAUGCGUAGAGAUCUGAAGGAAUACCGGUGGCGAAGGCGGCCCCCUGGACAGAUACUGACACUCAGAUGCGAAAGCGUGGGGAGCAAACAGGAUUAGAUACCCUGGUAG
RNAcentral lists this ribosomal RNA (443 nucleotides) under uncultured bacterium. RNAcentral's name for it is "bacterial SSU rRNA". It matches the Rfam family "Bacterial small subunit ribosomal RNA", at positions 360 to 793 of the family's 1533-position model. The record is from RNAcentral.